UAGGGAAUUUUGCGCAAUGGGCGAAAGCCUGACGCAGCAACACCGCGUGAGUGAUGACGCCCUUCGGGGUGUAAAACUCUGUCAGUGGGGACGAAAAUUGACGGUACCCACAGAGGAAGCAUCGGCUAACUACGUGCCAGCAGCCGCGGUAAGACGUAGGAUGCAAGCGUUGUCCGGAAUUAUUGGGCGUAAAGAGUUCGUAGGCGGUUUAUUAAGUCUGGUGUUAAAGCCCGAAGCUCAACUUCGGAUCGGCGCCGGAUACUGAUAGACUAGAGUACGGUAGAGGCAAGGGGAAUUCCUGGUGUAGCGGUGAAAUGCGUAGAUAUCAGGAGGAACACCGGUGGCGAAAGCGCCUUGCUGGGCCGAAACUGACGCUGAGGAACGAAAGCCGGGGGAGCAAAUGGG
This 405-nucleotide ribosomal RNA is filed under the name uncultured bacterium. RNAcentral describes it as "bacterial SSU rRNA". It matches the Rfam family "Bacterial small subunit ribosomal RNA", at positions 355 to 776 of the family's 1533-position model. The record is from RNAcentral.